GUUACAGGCUUAACACAUGCAAGUCGAGGGGCAGCAUGGUCUUAGCUUGCUAAGGCCGAUGGCGACCGGCGCACGGGUGAGUAACACGUAUCCAACCUGCCGUCUACUCUUGGACAGCCUUCUGAAAGGAAGAUUAAUACAAGAUGGCAUCAUGAGUCCGCAUGUUCACAUGAUUAAAGGUAUUCCGGUAGACGAUGGGGAUGCGUUCCAUUAGAUAGUAGGCGGGGUAACGGCCCACCUAGUCUUCGAUGGAUAGGGGUUCUGAGAGGAAGGUCCCCCACAUUGGAACUGAGACACGGUCCAAACUCCUACGGGAGGCAGCAGUGAGGAAUAUUGGUCAAUGGGCGAGAGCCUGAACCAGCCAAGUAGCGUGAAGGAUGACUGCCCUAUGGGUUGUAAACUUCUUUUAUAAAGGAAUAAAGUCGGGUAUGGAUACCCGUUUGCAUGUACUUUAUGAAUAAGGAUCGGCUAACUCCGUGCCAGCAGCCGCGGUAAUACGGAGGAUCCGAGCGUUAUCCGGAUUUAUUGGGUUUAAAGGGAGCGUAGAUGGAUGUUUAAGUCGGUUGUGAAAGUUUGCGGCUCAACCGUAAAAUUGCAGUUGAUACUGGAUAUCUUGAGUGCAGUUGAGGCAGGCGGAAUUCGUGGUGUAGCGGUGAAAUGCUUAGAUAUCACGAAGAACUCCGAUUGCGAAGGCAGCCUGCUAAGCUGCAACUGACAUUGAGGCUCGAAAGUGUGGGUAUCAAACAGGAUUAGAUACCCUGGUAGUCCACACGGUAAACGAUGAAUACUCGCUGUUUGCGAUAUACAGCAAGCGGCCAAGCGAAAGCGUUAAGUAUUCCACCUGGGGAGUACGCCGGCAACGGUGAAACUCAAAGGAAUUGACGGGGGCCCGCACAAGCGGAGGAACAUGUGGUUUAAUUCGAUGAUACGCGAGGAACCUUACCCGGGCUUAAAUUGCAGAUGAAUUACGGUGAAAGCCGUAAGCCGCAAGGCAUCUGUGAAGGUGCUGCAUGGUUGUCGUCAGCUCGUGCCGUGAGGUGUCGGCUUAAGUGCCAUAACGAGCGCAACCCUUGUUGUCAGUUACUAACAGGUUCCGCUGAGGACUCUGACAAGACUGCCAUCGUAAGAUGUGAGGAAGGUGGGGAUGACGUCAAAUCAGCACGGCCCUUACGUCCGGGGCUACACACGUGUUACAAUGGGGGGUACAGAGGGCCGCUACCACGCGAGUGGAUGCCAAUCCCCAAAACCUCUCUCAGUUCGGACUGGAGUCUGCAACCCGACUCCACGAAGCUGGAUUCGCUAGUAAUCGCGCAUCAGCCACGGCGCGGUGAAUACGUUCCCGGGCCUUGUACACACCGCCCGUCAAGCCAUGGGAGCCGGGGGUACCUGAAGUGCGUAACCGCGAGGAGCGCCCUAGGGUAAAACUGGUGACUGGGG
Molecule: ribosomal RNA, 1437 nt
Filed under: uncultured organism
Description: SSU rRNA
Rfam family: Bacterial small subunit ribosomal RNA
Source: RNAcentral